Heterocephalus glaber (naked mole-rat) is the source of this 680-nucleotide long non-coding RNA. RefSeq lists it as uncharacterized. The record is from RefSeq and is a predicted model, not a curated record. Lineage: Eukaryota; Metazoa; Chordata; Mammalia; Rodentia; Bathyergidae.
AGGAUUCUAUAUUCAGACAAACCUCCAGUUGAGAGUGAGGAUAAACUAAAGACAUCUGCAGACCUUCAAAGUUUCAAAAGUCUGCCUCAAUAAGCACUCAAUGCCAGAAGUACUGGAGUGAUGGCUUGAUGUCCUGUUCUAGAAGGCAUGCAUCCAUCUGGCCCUAAAAGCAGCCAUGUCAGUAAGGGAGAAUUUAUGAUCCACAAGGGUUGUCUGUGUUGUGCACCGCUGUGUCCUUAUCUCUAAGAACUGUGUUAAAACCACUUUAUUGAUGCCUUGCUCUCUAAGGAUUCUGGAUCCCAAGACUGACUGAUAUCCUACCAGUGUUAUAUGGCUGGCCUUUCCUAACUGUCAGGAAGGCUGAAGGACUGGCUGUGCAAGAAUUAAAUGUACCAAAUCCUAUUGAAUGGUAAAUUUACAUUAUGUAUAUUUGUGUAUAUUUUACCAAAAUUAAAAAUAAAGAAGGGGAUAAUUCUGAAGACACUGAUGUGUGGAUGUAUAAUUAAAAUUUCUUAUUCUGAUGUCCAAAGCAAUGCUGUACAGAUUAACAGGACUGCUGUGUGUCAGAACUCAAGCAUAUUUAUGGUAAAGAUGAUGGCCUGGCCUUCACAAUUUCACUGGCAGCAACAUGUCCAUGUGUUGUGUCCACACACCUUAAAUGGCUUAGGCCUGGUCCUACC